This 253-nucleotide ribosomal RNA is filed under the name uncultured bacterium. RNAcentral's name for it is "partial 16S ribosomal RNA". It matches the Rfam family "Bacterial small subunit ribosomal RNA", at positions 524 to 776 of the family's 1533-position model. The record is from RNAcentral.
UACGUAGGGGGCAAGCGUUAUCCGGAAUUACUGGGCGUAAAGGGUGUCUAGGCGGCAAGGCAGGUCUUGCGUGAAAGCUCCCGGCUCAACUGGGAGAGCGCGCAGGAAACCUUCUGGCUAGAGACUCGGAGGGGGGUGUGGAAUUCCCGGUGGAGUGGUGAAAUGCGUUGAGAUCGGGAGGAACACCAGGAGCGAAGGCGGCACCCUGGCCGAGGUCUGACGCUGAAGCACGACAGCGGGGGGAGCAAACGGG